RNAcentral lists this ribosomal RNA (254 nucleotides) under uncultured bacterium. Its description in RNAcentral is "partial 16S ribosomal RNA". It matches the Rfam family "Bacterial small subunit ribosomal RNA", at positions 524 to 776 of the family's 1533-position model. The record is from RNAcentral.
UACGUAGGGUGCGAGCGUUAAUCGGAAUUACUGGGCGUAAAGCGUGCGCAGGCGGUUCGUUGUGUCGGCGGUGAAAGCCCCGGGCUUAACCUGGGAAUGGCCGUCGAAACUGGCGAACUGGAGUGUGGCAGAGGGGGGUGGAAUUCCGCGUGUAGCAGUGAAAUGCGUAGAGAUGCGGAGGAACACCGAUGGCGAAGGCAGCCCCCUGGGCUGACACUGACGCUGAGUGAGCGAAAGCCAGGGGAGCAAACGGG